GACGAACGCUGGCGGCGUGCUUAACACAUGCAAGUCGAGCGAGAAAGCGCCUUCGGGUGUGAGUACAGCGGCGAACGGGUGAGUAACACGUGGGCAACCUGCCCCAGAGACUGGGAUAACGUCCCGAAAGGGACGCUAAUACCGGAUGAUGCGUGACCCGCCAAGUGGGUCUCGCCAAAUGGUAGCUUAGGCUUCUGCUCUGGGAUGGGCCCGCGCAGCAUUAGCUUGUUGGUGAGGUAACGGCUCACCAAGGCUGCGAUGCUUAGCUGGUCUGAGAGGACGAUCAGCCACACUGGGACUGAGACACGGCCCAGACUCCUACGGGAGGCAG
This 331-nucleotide ribosomal RNA is filed under the name uncultured Actinomycetes bacterium. Its description in RNAcentral is "bacterial SSU rRNA". It matches the Rfam family "Bacterial small subunit ribosomal RNA", at positions 28 to 351 of the family's 1533-position model. The record is from RNAcentral. Lineage: Bacteria; Bacillati; Actinomycetota; Actinomycetes.